RNAcentral lists this ribosomal RNA (458 nucleotides) under uncultured bacterium. Its description in RNAcentral is "partial 16S ribosomal RNA". It matches the Rfam family "Bacterial small subunit ribosomal RNA", at positions 338 to 795 of the family's 1533-position model. The record is from RNAcentral.
CCUACGGGAGGCAGCAGUGAGGAAUAUUGGUCAAUGGGCGAGAGCCUGAACCAGCCAAGUCGCGUGAGGGAGUACUGCCCUAUGGGUUGUAAACCUCUUUUGUCGGGGAGCAAAAGCCGGACGUGUCCGGCUGUGAGAGUACCCGAAGAAAAAGCAUCGGCUAACUCCGUUCCAGCAGCCGCGGUAAUACGGAGGAUGCGAGCGUUAUCCGGAUUUAUUGGGUUUAAAGGGUGCGCAGGCGGAUUUUUAAGUCAGCGGUAAAAUCGUGGGGCUCAACCCCAUCCAGCCGUUGAAACUGGGGAUCUAGAGUGUGCGAGAGGUAUGCGGAAUGCGUGGUGUAGCGGUGAAAUGCAUAGAUAUCACGCAGAACCCCGAUUGCGAAGGCAGCAUACCGGUGCACAACUGACGCUCAGGCACGAAAGCGUGGGUAUCGAACAGGAUUAGAUACCCCGGUAGUC